Molecule: transfer RNA, 72 nt
Filed under: Camelus bactrianus (Bactrian camel)
Lineage: Eukaryota; Metazoa; Chordata; Mammalia; Artiodactyla; Camelidae
Also listed under: 2 other names
Rfam family: tRNA
About the family: Transfer RNA (tRNA) molecules are approximately 80 nucleotides in length. Their secondary structure includes four short double-helical elements and three loops (D, anti-codon, and T loops).
Source: Rfam by way of RNAcentral
GGGGGUAUAGUUCAGUGGUAGAACGAAUGCUUGGCAUGCAUGAAGUCCUAAGUUCAAUCCCCAGUGCUUCUA